UACAGAGGGGGCAAGCGUUGUUCGGAAUUACUGGGCGUAAAGCGUGCGUAGACGGUCAUGUAAGUCGGAUGUGAAAGCCCCGGGCUCAACCUGGGAAUUGCAUUCGAGACUGCAUGGCUUGGGUGCGGAAGAGGGAAGCGGAAUUUCCGGUGUAGCGGUGAAAUGCGUAGAUAUCGGAAGGAACACCAGUGGCGAAAGCGGCUUCCUGGUCCGACACCGACGUUCAGGCACGAAAGCGUGGGGAGCAAACAGG
RNAcentral lists this ribosomal RNA (253 nucleotides) under uncultured bacterium. RNAcentral's name for it is "partial 16S ribosomal RNA". It matches the Rfam family "Bacterial small subunit ribosomal RNA", at positions 524 to 776 of the family's 1533-position model. The record is from RNAcentral.